AAAAUUAUAACAAAAAAAAGAAAAAAGAGAAAAAGGUAUAGAUUCUAGGUUGGCACCAAAAUUGUUGUCCAUAUCGUAGUAAUAGCCUGCAUUUCUGCAACUCGAUUCUAUCCUCAGCUCUCCACCCGUAGUAAUUAUUGAGAAAAAUACAAGUAGUUGUAGAUGCUCUUAGUAGGAAAUCGAGAUAAUCUUGGAACCAUUCACCAACC
This 209-nucleotide long non-coding RNA is filed under the name Salvia miltiorrhiza (redroot sage). RNAcentral describes it as "long non-coding RNA (SMIL_LNC014216)". The record is from RNAcentral. Lineage: Eukaryota; Viridiplantae; Streptophyta; Magnoliopsida; Lamiales; Lamiaceae.